CUGACCACAACAUUUUUGAAACUGGAACCAAUUUCUCUUAUAUCCGUAAUUUUCUUCGGAUGUUUAAUGGGUCUUCAGUUUAUUGGUAUGCUUAUGCACAGAUUUACCAUAUUCUGUCAGAUUUUGUCAAAUACAUCGGUUCGAAUUGGCCGUUUCCAAAAAUCGAAAAAUAAGCAAACCGACGAAGUAUUAUUAGAAAAAGAUCCCGUAAGGAUGGUUAAAAAGCUUAUCCAAUUAAGAGACGUCAAAAAAGAAAAAGAUAUAGAAAGGAGAAACACUAGUAUCGAAAGGGUCAAAGAUGGUGUCAAAUCUGAUGAAGCUACAACUACAGACUUAACACAUGCCUUCAGUAGACGGUUAGCCAAAUUUAGAAGCUACGGUACAAACCUAUAAAGAAUAAAAGGUAACGACGCAACUGGAAGAAAAUCGAUUGUUUUUGAGAUUAACAAAUACAGAUCGACCAUAGCCCAUCUGAAUAGUCGUUCAGUAACUUCGGGAAAUGUAAGAUCGCGUCAUACCCAUGUCAAUUUUGGUUAGUAAUCAGAAGGUGAAACAGUUAAACAAGUAAAUUGUCAAUUUUAUAUGUACUGCCCGAACUAAAUAAUUUAUGCGCCAAGACAUAAAUGUCAAUAUAAUGCUUUUAUUUAUUAUCUGCACAUAUAUGUACCUACACUACGAUUCAAGAAAUUUAAAAAAAUUAUAGCAGAAAUUCUGCAAAACAGUUGCCUUAUACUUUUUUAUUUAAGUUUGUACCGUUAUAAGA
Agrilus planipennis (emerald ash borer) is the source of this 763-nucleotide RNA transcript. RefSeq lists it as uncharacterized. NCBI's taxonomy places the organism in Eukaryota, Metazoa, Arthropoda, Insecta, Coleoptera, Buprestidae. The record is from RefSeq and is a predicted model, not a curated record. The transcript is spliced from 3 exons.